UACGUAGGGUGCAAGCGUUAAUCGGAAUUACUGGGCGUAAAGCGUGCGCAGGCGGUGAUGUAAGACCGAUGUGAAAUCCCCGGGCUUAACCUGGGAACUGCAUUGGUGACUGCAUCGCUAGAGUAUGGCAGAGGGGGGUGGAAUUCCACGUGUAGCAGUGAAAUGCGUAGAGAUGCGGCGGAACACCGAUGGCGAAGGCAGCCCCCUGGGCUGAGAUUGACGCUCAGGCACGAAAGCGUGGGGAGCAAACAGG
Molecule: ribosomal RNA, 253 nt
Filed under: uncultured bacterium
Lineage: Bacteria
Description: partial 16S ribosomal RNA
Rfam family: Bacterial small subunit ribosomal RNA
Source: RNAcentral